GAGAAGGCAAAGAGAAGGGCAACUUCUCAAAAAUCUCAAGGUGUUGGCCAACUGGUGAAUUCUAAGGUAAGGGGAUGACAAUGAGACAUCUGAACUACAUCCACACCGUUCAAGGGCAAGAACCUGGCAGGUCCGUGUCCUGAAAAAUCAACAAGCCACAACACCAUCAAGUCAGACUCCGAGAACUCACUGAAAUCCAAAGACCACAUCGUCGUCACACUGUAUGUCCUCCUGAUGUUCACUCGACUGUUAGUUAAAAUAAUUACCGGCAUUUGCCACCUGCGCUGUGAGCUAUGGAUAAGGGGAAAGACCGAACUUCCCUGGGCUGCGCCAUAUAGGAGCGCUGGUGGUAGCUGCUGAUGCAUUUUGAUAAACAAAUUCAAAGGCUGUGUGAGUUGUGCCUUGAAGGCUGAAAAUUAUACGUGAAAUUGUGCCAUACCUGGCUCCAAACAAUAAACUUGGGGAGAAGGGAAUUUAAAGCGGGGAAAAGAAGAUAGCCCUUCAGUUUAAAAUUAGUCAAUAUGAGAGGAACAAAGAGAGGGAGACCGGGAGGGAAGAAGGGGGAGGAAGUGAGAAAAAAAAAAUAGAACUACAUACUGUGAAAUGAACAAGUUCAGUUAGAAUGUUCAUCAGGAUUUGGAAAAUCAUAAUGCCAUCUGCUACUCUGGACCUCCGAACAUCAGGGAUCUCGUGGGCCCAGACGCUUCCAUUUCCAGGAGGAAGGAAGGAACUUAGACUCCCUGGAACGCUGCCUCCGUUCUGGAAUGGAGGCAGCGCCCCAGCCGAUCGGUUUGGAAUCUCUUUUGAGAACAUUUGCACUGUUCACAUACGCAUUUUCCCUGGUUUAGGGAAAAUGAACGGCAGGCAAAAUGAUUACGGCAACUCGGCAGUGAGGCGGAGCAGUGCCCCAGCCUGAGCUGCUGGGUAACUGACCCUGGCAUCCAACUUGGGCUCAGGGUGUGUAGGUCCCAUCACGGUGGAUUAAAUGAGCAUUGUCCUACGGCUGGAUAAGACUUCACAAUAGAGCAACACAUGUUAAAUGACAGCAGCCAAAAUUGGCCCCACCAGGCAACUGCCCAUUCACAGAACGCUUUUCAUACGCCUCCACCACCAAGAAAUUAAUUCAUUAAUAAUACAUCAGGCUUCGUGGACAAUUCAAAGAAAACAACACAAAGCUACUUGUUCAGUGACUGCCUAAAGAUGCAGAAUUUUUCCUGGUUAAAAACAAACAAACAAAACCCAAAUCUAAUGGACUUACUGAAACCUAAAUCACAGGGAUGUUUAUGCUAAUAUUUGGUUAGUGAAAAAGAAGAAAUGGUGAAAGUCUAUCCACUGAAUUCACUCAGUGCCACUAGGAAACAAUAAAAAUACAGAUUAUUUUCAGCAGCAGCUAAUAAAAUCUGAAUUUAUAGAA
This is a long non-coding RNA of Suricata suricatta (meerkat), 1414 nucleotides long. RefSeq lists it as uncharacterized. The transcript is spliced from 2 exons. The record is from RefSeq and is a predicted model, not a curated record. Lineage: Eukaryota; Metazoa; Chordata; Mammalia; Carnivora; Herpestidae.